Siniperca chuatsi (mandarin fish) is the source of this 2383-nucleotide long non-coding RNA. RefSeq lists it as uncharacterized. NCBI's taxonomy places the organism in Eukaryota, Metazoa, Chordata, Actinopteri, Centrarchiformes, Sinipercidae. The record is from RefSeq and is a predicted model, not a curated record. The transcript is spliced from 3 exons.
CUCAGCUAAUCUGCUUAAUCAGGACUGUGUGGUUGUGGUUUGAUUGACAGUUGCCUGGCAACAUAAGCAUGCAACAUCACAAACGUCAACAUUCCAAAUUUGAAUUACAAUAAAUUCAAUUACAAAGGUAUGUAACUACAUAGGUAAAGGCACAACCAAUCAUUCAACACGUGCAUGUGUACACAGCCACACAAAACUCACACACACCUUCCAAUACAACUGCUGCAGGUUCCCUGCUCAGAUUGAUGUGUGCGAUCAGCCAAGAUAGCCAGGAGUGCCGGCCACAUCUAUUCACUGAAUAAGUGCUAGGACAAGCUGUUUUUUCAGGAGCCAGCCGGGCAACAAUAGGCCCUCUAAUAGCUCCAGUUUGUCUCAGUUAAGAACAGCCUCCCCCCUCUUUUCCCACCACAUGCACACAUACACACACCUCUUACUUUACACCUCUCCGCCCAUUCCUGUGUUGCUCAAAUAACUCCUUAAUCUCUCUAUUUGGCUUCUUUCUCGGUUGCUGAUUGCUGUAUAAUUUUUCUCCUUUCUUCAUUUUAUCACUGGGAGAAUCUGGAGCUAAUUUACUCUACAAAUAACUGAAAACCAUCGAACAGUUCUCUGGACGACCCUGACCUCUGACCUUCCUGUGCAGGUGGCCAGCUAAAAGUAGGACGCAGCAGGCGUGAUGAGCAGAGGAGGGAAAAAUAUACCAAUUACAUGAUUCACUUGUACAGAGAGGUCGUAGCCACGUUAUGGGGGAGGAAGUUUCUACAUUGGACCUUUGGUGACUCUUAAAAAACUGCAGGCUCACACUGUUCCAGACUGAAGAACAAAAGCUACCCUUUGCUUUGCUGCAAUCUAGUAUCACCCACUGGAUAAAAAGUGAAUGCUAAAAAUGCUAACAUGCCAUUUUUCCAUUUGAGAUCAAAUGUAUACUUUUAUCCCGACAUCAUGACAAGAGCCAAGUGAAGAAAAAUACAUUUUCAAAAUGUCAGAGAUGUCACUGAAUCAUGGCUAAUGAGCCCUCUUUCACCUUCCCUCCUCUUAUUUUUACUGAAUCUAAAAUAGCCCACUCCUAGUCUGCCUUCUCUGCAAUGUUUACACAGAAAUUCACAUCAGAUCUCUGAAUGUGGAGUAAGGCAGGACACAUGGGAAAGGAUCCAACAUGGAGAGGCAGAGCGUUACAUGAUUGGACCCACUCCUUGUUUCUAGUCCAAGUCCCUUUCUUCUGGCAAUUUUGGAUUUUCAAUAGCUUAACAUGAUGUCAUCUUAAAGAGAGUUUUAAAUAUUAGGUCAUUUAUCCUGUCAAGGUGGGAAGACCUGAUAACUUUGCAAGGCUAACAGGUAUUUCAAGGUUAAAGGAAACUGGGAGCGAUGCACCUCCAUGGCCCAUGAGCACUGUAUGUAAAGGACAACUAGCCCCUGGAGUGUGGAGGGGCAUUGUUCUGUAGCAAUAAAGUGGGGCUGGAGCAGGAGAUGGAGAGAAUGACAGGAGGGAGUGAAAGAAAGAGAGAGGCAGUAAAAAAUGAAUUACCACAUGCUGGAGAAUGACAAGACAACAAACCCAGGAAUGGUGCACAAAUAAAAAGGAGGAAAAUUAAAGACAGACAAUGACAGAAAGCAAACAGGAGCAAAUAGCAAUAACUGACGCAGGAGGGGAAAUUAAACAAGAGACAUGAGGGACAAACAAGAGAGAAAGCAGGAAAAGGUUGUGGGCAAGAGGGAAGGUAGAGAUAAUAUUAGAAACAGGUCAGUGAACACCAUUCAACCCCCCCCCACCCCACCCCAUCUUCCCUUCCCUCUUUCCACCACAGGCAGUGAUACUGUCAAACCAAACUACAGCAGAUCUUCGUCUUCCCAUGCCACCUCUCCUCCGUCCUCCUGUCUUCAUUUCCUUGCCUAUCGCCCUCCUUUUUUUCCAUUUCUCUUCCAAUUUCUCCUUUCCCCACCCCAUUGUUCUCUCAACAUCAGCCUCUCCCUCAUGAGCUGUGAAUAUCAAAGAAGCUCUGUCCUGGCACUCUGCCUACACCUGCCUACCAAACUGUUUCCUCUGUGCCCAACUUCUUGCUGCCUAAGCGGCCAUGCUGCGCCAACAUGCACCGACACCAAGGUCAGACAGAACUCUUUCCCAACUACAAAUACAUUUUUUCAAUCAACUAAACGAUUAAUUGAUUAAAAUCUUUCAGAUAAAUCUAUUAAAGAUUGAGAACAACUACUUUGUGCCAUUUUGCUUGAAUGCACAUUCUGUCUGUAAAACACAAAAUGUUGAAUGUGUGCAGUGAUAUUUGUGUUUUACUGUCCUCUGGCACUGUUGCUGCCACUGCAUGAUGAUGCCAUCAUUGUAUCGAAUGUACAUUUGUCUAAAACGACGCCAGUAUGACAAACUUAUUGUCAC